This 253-nucleotide ribosomal RNA is filed under the name uncultured bacterium. Its description in RNAcentral is "partial 16S ribosomal RNA". It matches the Rfam family "Bacterial small subunit ribosomal RNA", at positions 524 to 776 of the family's 1533-position model. The record is from RNAcentral.
UACGGAGGGUCCAAGCGUUAUCCGGAAUCAUUGGGUUUAAAGGGUCCGUAGGCGGCUCUGUAAGUCAGUGGUGAAAUCUCCCGGCUCAACCGGGAAAUAGCCAUUGAUACUGCAGGUCUUGAAUUAUUGGGAAGUAACUAGAAUAUGUAGUGUAGCGGUGAAAUGCUUAGAGAUUACAUGGAAUACCAAUUGCGAAGGCAGGUUACUAUCAAUAUAUUGACGCUGAUGGACGAAAGCGUGGGUAGCGAACAGG